This 288-nucleotide ribosomal RNA is filed under the name uncultured Bacillus sp. RNAcentral describes it as "partial 16S ribosomal RNA". It matches the Rfam family "Bacterial small subunit ribosomal RNA", at positions 925 to 1215 of the family's 1533-position model. The record is from RNAcentral. Lineage: Bacteria; Bacillati; Bacillota; Bacilli; Caryophanales; Bacillaceae.
UACAAGCGGUGGAGCAUGUGGUUUAAUUCGAUGCUACGCGAAGAACCUUACCAGGUCUUGACAUUUUCUGCUAACCUAAGAGAUUAGGCGUUCCCUUCGGGGACGGAAUGACAGGUGGUGCAUGGUUGUCGUCAGCUCGUGUCGUGAGGUUGGGUUAAGUCCCGCAACGAGCGCAACCCUUAUUGUCAGUUGCCAGCAUUUAGUUGGGCACUCUGGCGAGACUGCCGGUGACAAACCGGAGGAAGGUGGGGAUGACGUCAAAUCAUCAUGCCCCUUAUGACCUGGGCU